RNAcentral lists this ribosomal RNA (494 nucleotides) under uncultured bacterium. RNAcentral's name for it is "partial 16S ribosomal RNA". It matches the Rfam family "Bacterial small subunit ribosomal RNA", at positions 28 to 507 of the family's 1533-position model. The record is from RNAcentral.
GACGAACGCUGGCGGCGUGCUUAACACAUGCAAGUCGAACGGAAAGGCCUGCUUUCCCUCGUGGGUUGCGGGCACUCGAGUGGCGAACGGGUGAGUAACACGUGAGUGAUCUGCCCCCAACUUGGGUAUAAGCCUGGGAAACUGGGUCUAAUUCCCGAUAGGACUGCAGGGUGGUGCCUGUGGUGGGAUACGAUAUUCUAGUGGUUGGGGAUGGGCUCUCGGCCUAGUAGCUUGUUGGUGGGGUAAUGGUCGACCAAGGCGGCGACGGGUAGCCGGCCUGAGAGGGUGGACCGGGGAAUUGGGACUGGGACACGGCCCAGACGGCUGCGGGAGGCAGGAGUGGGGAAUAAUGGACAAUGGGCGGAAGCCUGAUGGAGCGAGGCCGCGUGGGGGAUGACGGACUUCGGGUCGUAAACUCCUUGGGAGCGCGAGGAAGCCACCUGGAUGGAAGGGUGGUGACGGUAGUGGUAGAAGAAGCACCGGCUAACUACGUG